GACGAACGCUGGCGGCGUGCUUAACACAUGCAAGUCGAACGGAAAGGCCCUGCUUGCAGGGUACUCGAGUGGCGAACGGGUGAGUAACACGUGGGUGAUCUGCCCUGCACUUCGGGAUAAGCCUGGGACACUGGGUCUAAUACCGGAUAGGAGCCAUUUUUAGUGUGAUGGUUGGAAAGUUUUUUCGGUGUAGGAUGAGCUCGCGGCCUAUCAGCUUGUUGGUGGGGUAAUGGCCUACCAAGGCGGCGACGGGUAGCCGGCCUGAGAGGGUGGACGGCCACAUUGGGACUGAGAUACGGCCCAGACUCCUACGGGAGGCAGCAGUGGGGAAUAUUGCACAAUGGGCGCAAGCCUGAUGCAGCGACGCCGCGGGGGGGAUGACGGUCUUCGGGUUGUAAACUCCUUUCGCUAGGGACGAAGCUUUUUGUGACGGUACCUAGAUAAGAAGCACCGGCUAACUACGUG
Molecule: ribosomal RNA, 465 nt
Filed under: uncultured bacterium
Lineage: Bacteria
Description: partial 16S ribosomal RNA
Rfam family: Bacterial small subunit ribosomal RNA
Source: RNAcentral